This 501-nucleotide ribosomal RNA is filed under the name uncultured bacterium. Its description in RNAcentral is "partial 16S ribosomal RNA". It matches the Rfam family "Bacterial small subunit ribosomal RNA", at positions 30 to 523 of the family's 1533-position model. The record is from RNAcentral.
AUUGAACGCUGGCGGCAGGCUUAACACAUGCAAGUCGAGCGGGGGAAGGUAGCUUGCUACCGGACCUAGCGGCGGACGGGUGAGUAAUGCUUAGGAAUCUGCCUAUUAGUGGGGAACAACAUCUCGAAAGGGAUGCUAAUACCGCAUACGUCCUACGGGAGAAAGCAGGGGAUCUUCGGAACUUGCGCUAAUAGAUGAGCCUAAGUCAGAUUAGCUAGUUGGUGGGGUAAAGGCCUACCAAGGCGACGAUCUGUAGCGGGUGUGAGAGGGUGAGCCGCCUAGCUGGGACGGGGACCCGGCCCAGACUCCUACGGGAGGCAGAAGGGGGGAAUAUUGGACAAAGGGGGGAACCCUGAUCCAGCCAUGACGCGUGUGUGAAGAAGGCCUUAUGGUUGUAAAGGACUUUAAGCGAGGAGGAGGCUACUUUAGUUAAUACCUAGAGAUAGUGGACGUUACUCGCAGAAUAAGCACCGGCUAACUCUGUGCCAGCAGCCGCCGUAA